ACUAAUAUGUCUAGCCUACACAUUUAAUAUAUAUACAUUUAAUAACUAUACAUUAUAGUAAUGCAUAUACUCUGAAUACACAAUACAAAUCCUACUGUACAAAGCCUAUGCAUUUAACACAGGUAUGAGCUAAGUCUUUAGCCUAUGUAGCAAUUGAUGAUGUAGAUUUUGACAUUACAGAUUUUAUAUUUUACAAUUGGGAUUUGAAAUCAGGUGUAUACAAACAUACAGACUGGUUGACGGGACGGGACAGGACGGACAUUGAAUAUCUCAUUACACAAGUUGAUGUGUUGGAAGCAGGAAAAGGGCCAACUUGUAAUGGCUAGACGAUUGGGUCAGAGCAUCUCCAAAAUGGCAGGUCUUCUCAGGUGCUCCUGUUAUGCAGUGGUUAAGUGGUCCAUGGAAAGACAAUUAGUGAACCAUCGACAAGGCUCACGGAUGCUUGUGGAGCGAAGGCUAGGCCGUCCGGUCCAAAUUCACAGAAGAGCUAUAUAGCCGCAGACCGGUCAGCGUGUCCAUGCUGACCCCUGUCACCUACCGAAAAUGCCUACAAUGGGCAUGUGAGCAUCAGUGAACCCCUUGACAGUUGCCACUGUAAUAAGAUAAUCAAUGUUAUUCACUUCAACUGUCAGUGGUUUUAAUGUUAUGGCUUACUAUGAGCUCCUCUCCAAAUAAGUGUGCUCAGACACCUCAAUCUUCAUCAUACUCUCGUUCCGCACGCAGUCUUCUUUUGGGAGGGGCCUCUUCAUCACUGUCAUCUUCUUCAGUCAUCUGCUCCCUCCGUCUCCUCCUCCCACAGAAAUGCUCACUGCUGGAGUGCUCUUGCAUGUUGUGGAUACACUCCAAAGCUGGGAAUAAGCUCCACAAAGGGGGUGAGCUACUCUCCGAAUUACUGAGCUCAGACACCUCAUAGUCGUCAUCUUCCUGCUCCACAUGCUGCCUUCUUCUAGGAGGGGCCUCUUCAUCACUGUCCUCUUCAUCGUUCAUCUGCUCCCUCAUCAUCAUCAUCCACCAGAAAUGCUCACUGCUGGAGGGAGCAUCUGCAGAUGGAACGAACACCAAAGUAGGGGAUAAGCGCCACAAAGGGGACGAGUUCCUCUCCAAACUAGCGAAAUCAAUUGGCUCAUCGUCAGCAUCCUCAUGCUCCACACACUGUCUUCUUCUGGGAGGGGACUCUUCAAUGUCAUCCUCUUCAUCAGUCACCUGCUCCCCCCGUCUCCUCCUCUCCCCAUGCUCAUCCUCCACAGUUUCCUCCCUCCAUGUGCCUGUGUCACAGGAGUGAAGAGAUAAUGAGAUAAAUCUGCACAUUUAGUAAAAAGGAAUCAGAAAUUAGCAAACUUUUAGUGAACUAUGUAACUUUUUUUUAACAAGUUAGCUAACAUUAGGCUAAUUAUCACUAUCUUAAACCAUUAGCCAAGUGCUUCAUUUCUGUCCGCUAUUUUCUCCUGUCACUGCCAGCUGGUAUGUUAAGAGUUUAACACGUUUAACACGUAACCGCGGUCACACCAAGCUCGCCACCAUUCAAAUAACCGGAAACGGCUAACCGGAAACGGCUAACCGGAAACGGCU
Molecule: long non-coding RNA, 1569 nt
Organism: Ictalurus punctatus (channel catfish)
Lineage: Eukaryota; Metazoa; Chordata; Actinopteri; Siluriformes; Ictaluridae
Source: Ensembl